This 268-nucleotide long non-coding RNA is filed under the name Onthophagus taurus. RNAcentral's name for it is "uncharacterized LOC111423210". The record is from RNAcentral. Lineage: Eukaryota; Metazoa; Arthropoda; Insecta; Coleoptera; Scarabaeidae.
AAAAUCGUUAAAAUUUAUCUUAGAUUAAUAAAAAAAUAAAUAUUUACUUUUAAGGUUAUGUUCUUUAAGUGACAGUUAUUGACAGAUUAUUUAUUACCAAUAAAAGCAGCUUUAUUCUCUAAUAUUUUUAUUAAUUUUAAGUUUUAGCGAUUCAACUUGCAAAGGGACAAGGUUGGAUCUCAAUAGAGUCGAUGGGUUUUGUCUUUUUCAUACAAUAAAGGAAUUAAUAGAAAAUAAACUUCCUACAAUGUGUUAAAACGAAAAAAAA